AAUCAACGCUGGCGGCGUGCCUAACACAUGCAAGUCGAACGAGAAAGUGGAGCAAUCCAUGAGUAAAGUGGCGACCGGGUGAGUAACACGUGACUAACCUACCCUCGAGUGUGGAAUAACAUCGGGAAACCGAUGCUAAUACCGCAUAACAUCGCAAGAUCAAAGGAGCAAUCCGCUUGAGGAGGGGGUCGCGGCUGAUUAGCUAGUUGGCGGGGUAACGGCCCACCAAGGCGAAGAUCGGUAGCCGGCCUGAGAGGGCGCACGGCCACACUGGAACUGAAACACGGUCCAGACUCCUACGGGAGGCAGCAGUGGGGAAUUUUGCGCAAUGGGGGAAACCCUGACGCAGCAACGCCGCGUGGAGGAUGAAGCCCCUUGGGGCGUAAACUCCUUUCGACCAAGACGAUAAUGACGGUACUGGUGGAAGAAGCACCGGCUAACUCUGUGCCAGCAGCCGCGGUAAUACAGAGGGUGCAAGCGUUGUUCGGAAUUAUUGGGCGUAAAGGGCGCGUAGGCGGCGCGACAAGUCACCUGUGAAAUCCCCGGGCUUAACCCGGGGCCUGCAGGCGAAACUGUCGUGCUGGAGUAUGGGAGAGGUGCGUGGAAUUCCCGGUGUAGCGGUGAGAUGCGUAGAUAUCGGGAGGAACACCUGUGGCGAAAGCGGCGCACUGGACCAUAACUGACGCUGAGGCGCGAAAGCUAGGGGAGCAAACAGGAUUAGAUACCCUGGUAGUCCUAGCCCUAAACGAUCAGGACUUGGGGUGCUUCACGUUCGUGAAGCGUCCCGGAGCUAACGCGUUAAGUCCUGCACCUGGGG
Molecule: ribosomal RNA, 817 nt
Filed under: uncultured bacterium
Lineage: Bacteria
Description: bacterial SSU rRNA
Rfam family: Bacterial small subunit ribosomal RNA
Source: RNAcentral